Molecule: long non-coding RNA, 2194 nt
Filed under: Solanum lycopersicum (tomato)
Lineage: Eukaryota; Viridiplantae; Streptophyta; Magnoliopsida; Solanales; Solanaceae
Description: long non-coding RNA (SLYC_LNC000389)
Source: RNAcentral
AAUCCAUAAAAGACCAUAAAAAGAAGGGUUAUAUGGAUGCAAAUUGAUCAAGUUUUCAACAUCAAACUUCAUCAUUUAUUAAGGUAUGGGAUUCCUUUCACCUUUUGAGAUCUCUUUCUCCAAAGGGUUCCUCAAAAUAUAUUUCAAAAGUAUAAAAUUCAAGUGGGUUUUCUUCCAAUAAAAAAUUGAUCUUAUGAAUUGCUUUGUUUAUGAUUCCUUUUGGUUAUUAUGAGUAUAUUAACAUGUUUUAUGAAACAUUUUGACUACUUCUUGGUGUAUUGACCGAGUUUGUGAAAAGAUGACCUUUUCCCCUUAACCCUAGGUUGUGAUCAUGAAUUGAAUUGUAUAUCAUUGAUACAAUCCACUUGGUUAAUGUGUGAUUUACUAUUCUACGUUGUUAUUGUUUCAAUUAUGAGUAUAUUGUUUUGUAUUGUAAUUUAAGUAUGCUAGUUCUUGAUUAAUUGACCUAGGUUGUGAAGUAGAUCAUGAAUUUGAUCUAAGGUCCAAAUUCUAGUCUAUGAACUAGUGAUGAAUUGUUGUAUAGUGAUUCAAUUGACUUUAUUAUGAUGAUUAUUAUUAUUGUGUGAUAAUGUUACACCCAUUCUUGGGUUGAAUUUGAUAAUUGAUGGUAAGACCUUCAUGAUGGCAUUGUGAAGGAGAUUGGGUAAGCCUUGUAAUAUCAAUUCUUGACUUCAAUUAUGACUACAUCUGAUUAAAUGAUGAUGUUGUAUUGAAGUAUACCUCAUGUUAAGAUUGAUAGGGUUGGUAUGAUGUUAAAUUGAAAUGUCUUGAACAAUGGAUUGUGAGUUGUUGGCUAAGAUGUAAAUGUUAUAAGGAUGGUGAUAACAUACCGAUGAUCCUUAUUAUGAUGUGACUAUGUAAAUGUGUUAACCUCACAUGUAUGAAUUGUAAUGGAAGGACAAUACUCAUGCAAUUCUUGUUGAGCUAUGAUGAUUAUUAUAUAAGGGAUAGACCCUAUAAACUACAUUAUGUUGUGAUGAUUAAUAAUGGAAUUAAAGACAUUUCAAAAGGAUUCUAGCUUAGCACCAAGUGAACUAGAGUUAACAGUGUCCUAUCCCACAUAGGGAAGGUAGGAUACCUAAUGUACUCAUAAGAUGGAGACUAUAAUACAUGUCGCAUAAAGAGGGUCCAAACUAUAUCUCCUAGUUAUUGACCCCAUAGGGUAGCUAGUGUAUCCAUAUAGAUGUUAUGUUUAUGUUUUGGUACUACCUUGUCAAGUAGUACGCCUUCCAUCGAUGUAGGGUUCCAUGACACCGGAUUUUACAUUAGCUCAUGUGGUCUAUUUCGGUUAAGGAAAAAUGUUCCCAAGAGGUAAAAUGAAGUAAUGAAGUGGACUCUAACUAGCAUGACCUAAGGAGUUUAGCUUAUUCUAGGUAGGGGUAUAGGACACUACCUAUGCAUUGCACUAGUUAUCCUUGAGGGAAGUCUUAGAAGGAUCUUCUUAUAUAUGUAUAUGCUUAUAAAUAUAAAUGAUAAUGUAUAUGAUUAUCUUACAUAUUUAUGACACUAUAUGAUGUUGGUUUCACUUACGAACAUGUGUUUGGUCUCUAUUCUAACUUUUGAUGUUAUAUACUCUUAAGGAUAUGUUGUGUUAAGUUUGGCAUUGUUUAUGGUUCUUGUUGAGUUACUUGAUUGAGUAAGGUUAGGGGUUUUGCCUAGUUAUUGCAAUAGUGGACUUAAUAAGGGUUCAUGAAUUAUGGUCUUGCUUUAGUUAUGAUAUUAUGAACUCUUAUAUAUGCUUGUUGAUAUUAUAAUUUGAUGAUAGGGUUGUCUUGAUUGUGUUCUAAAUUAGGUUGACAUGCACAUUGACUUAACUAGACUAUGUAUUAUUGGUCUUGUGAUGUACAUGCUAUUGACUUAAUAAAUAUGUAUGAUUGACAUGUAUUGGCUCUUGAAUGUGCAAAAGGAUUUUCAAAGUAAAAUAGCAUGUUUUAAUAGGAUGUCCUUUUUUAGCAUGAUUUAAUGUUAUGUGUGCAUAUGGUCUCAUACUUAGUACAAGUGAAGUGCUAACCCUAUUUUCUCCCUUUUUCCCCAACAUUUUAGGUUCCGAUUGUUAAAGGCUUGUAGCGACCUUUGAAGGAAGAUUUGGAUUCUCAUUCUCCAAGUUGGGUAGGUCCUCACUACUUCGAGGACAAUGCCACUUUCUAGCAUUGAAUAUAGAUUAGUAUUAAAG